Molecule: long non-coding RNA, 233 nt
Filed under: Elaeis guineensis (African oil palm)
Lineage: Eukaryota; Viridiplantae; Streptophyta; Magnoliopsida; Arecales; Arecaceae
Description: long non-coding RNA (EGUI_LNC081104)
Source: RNAcentral
UCUCAAGAUUUAUUUCUAGACCUCCUAUUUAUAGAUAAAUUUUUUACCUUUUUUUGAUCACCAAAGGAGUCCUAAAACUCUUAAAAAUUGUAUAAUAACCUUAGAAUUAAUUUUUGACCGUCAGAUCUUAAAUGGACUACCCAGAUCUGAUCAAAAUUAAUGUUUUAAAUCCUUCUCUCAGUCAAAAUCCACCACAGCCAUUCGAUCAUGCGCUUGAUUUAUUUUUGGCCAUC